RNAcentral lists this ribosomal RNA (207 nucleotides) under uncultured bacterium. RNAcentral describes it as "partial 16S ribosomal RNA". It matches the Rfam family "Bacterial small subunit ribosomal RNA", at positions 568 to 774 of the family's 1533-position model. The record is from RNAcentral.
UGCGUAGGCGGUUUACUAAGUCAGAUGUGAAAGCCCCGGGCUUAACCUGGGAACUGCAUUUGAUACUGGUAGGCUAGAGUAUGAUAGAGAGGGGUAGAAUUCCUGGUGUAGCGGUGAAAUGCGUAGAUAUCAGGAGGAAUACCAGUGGCGAAGGCGGCCCCCUGGAUCAAUACUGACGCUGAGGUACGAAAGCGUGGGUAGCGAACA